This 465-nucleotide ribosomal RNA is filed under the name Vreelandella stevensii. Its description in RNAcentral is "partial 16S ribosomal RNA". It matches the Rfam family "Bacterial small subunit ribosomal RNA", at positions 338 to 795 of the family's 1533-position model. Lineage: Bacteria; Pseudomonadati; Pseudomonadota; Gammaproteobacteria; Oceanospirillales; Halomonadaceae. The record is from RNAcentral.
CCUACGGGCGGCAGCAGUGGGGAAUAUUGGACAAUGGGCGAAAGCCUGAUCCAGCCAUGCCGCGUGUGUGAAGAAGGCCUUCGGGUUGUAAAGCACUUUCAGUGGGGAAGAAAGCCUUGGGGCUAAUACCCUCGAGGAAGGACAUCACCCACAGAAGAAGCACCGGCUAACUCCGUGCCAGCAGCCGCGGUAAUACGGAGGGUGCGAGCGUUAAUCGGAAUUACUGGGCGUAAAGCGCGCGUAGGCGGUCUGAUAAGCCGGUUGUGAAAGCCCCGGGCUCAACCUGGGAACGGCAUCCGGAACUGUCCGGCUAGAGUGCAGGAGAGGAAGGUAGAAUUCCCGGUGUAGCGGUGAAAUGCGUAGAGAUCGGGAGGAAUACCAGUGGCGAAGGCGGCUUUCUGGACUGACACUGACGCUGAGGUGCGAAAGCGUGGGUAGCAAACAGGAUUAGAUACCCCGGUAGUC